CCAGGCUCAAGGCUCUGUCACGCUGAGGGAGGGAGCACCUAGCCAAGGCUGUCAUGCCUCCUACCCCCCACACUGGCUACUAUCCACCCCAACCCCCACCUCAGCUCAAGGCUCCAGGCUCUCCCUGACAGGAAGCUUCUGCUCCUGGUUCUUGCUGCUGGCCACUUCCCUUCCUCCCUCUGACUUCCCAGCAGCUGCUGAGAUUUGCAGACCGCUCGCUGACCUGGUGCCCAGCUUGGACUGGACAAGGACUCACUUCGGAAAAGUCUGUACCCUCGACGAAUUACAGCAAGGGAGUGACUUUCUGGAUCCCUGGCAAUGCAAGUAGUACUCCACCCUAGAGACCUUCUCAUCUUCUACCUGCCUUCUCCAAAACUGCUGGGACAAAGGCUGGCCUCAGACUCAAGGCAGUCCUCCUGCCUCAGCCUCCCAGACACUGAGAUUCCAGGUGUGAGGUACCAUGCUCAGCCUGAGCACUUCAUGAUAGCAAUGUAUCACAUCCAUCGCACUUAUCUGUCAGACCUUUGGGGUUUUUUCUGUAUUGCUUUCGAGCCUGUCCUGGAACUCGCUCUGUAGACCAGGAUGGCCUUGAACUCACAGAGAUCCACCUGCCUCUGCCUCCCAAGUGCUGGGACUAAAGGCAUGCACCACUAACGCCUGACAAACAUGCUCUUAACACACCGAAAUUCCA
Molecule: long non-coding RNA, 691 nt
Filed under: Cricetulus griseus (Chinese hamster)
Lineage: Eukaryota; Metazoa; Chordata; Mammalia; Rodentia; Cricetidae
Description: lncRNA (ENSCGRG00015035633.1)
Source: RNAcentral